UCAUAUGGGCAGCAGAUUAUCAAAGCUCUGACCAAUUUCCAAUGUCUCCGUCAUGGAAAAAGCCAAACCAUUCCAAGCGUGCAGGAUUUCUCACAGCACUAAAUUCAAACAUGAAACUGCCGCUGGCUGCAGGGCUCAGUUUAAGCCAGCCUGAUCUGGGGAAACAUAAAGCGUCGGGUCGGUUCCCAAAACAACGGCGGAGUUUGACAUUCGAGCCAGGGGGGGCAGAAACAAAUAAUAAUUGUAGCAGCGGAGACCUGGCCUACCACUUGGGGAACACAGCAUGAGCACAUAUGGAGAAAACAAACAUGCUAAAUAAAGAUAAUUACAUUGUAA
Molecule: long non-coding RNA, 336 nt
Organism: Alosa sapidissima (American shad)
Lineage: Eukaryota; Metazoa; Chordata; Actinopteri; Clupeiformes; Clupeidae
Exons: 2
Source: RefSeq, a predicted model, not a curated record